Molecule: non-coding RNA, 224 nt
Organism: Pocillopora verrucosa
Lineage: Eukaryota; Metazoa; Cnidaria; Anthozoa; Scleractinia; Pocilloporidae
Source: RefSeq, a predicted model, not a curated record
AGGUUGUAGAAACGCUUGAAGAAGAAAUAAAGAAAUUAAAAGAAGAGAACAACCGCACAAGAACAAACUUGGAAAAGAAGCUUGCUCAGACAACGGCAAAAUACGAAGAAGAGAAAGCGUCGGCGAAAAAGCAUCAUUCUUCAAUUGCCAAGUCUUUGCAGCAAGACGUAGAAACACAAAAAACAAUGGUUCGACAUUUAGAGAAACGAAUUCAACAAGUGGAG